RNAcentral lists this ribosomal RNA (468 nucleotides) under uncultured bacterium. Its description in RNAcentral is "partial 16S ribosomal RNA". It matches the Rfam family "Bacterial small subunit ribosomal RNA", at positions 28 to 507 of the family's 1533-position model. The record is from RNAcentral.
GACGAACGCUGGCGGCGUGCUUAACACAUGCAAGUCGAACGGAAAGGCCCUGCUUUUGUGGGGUGCUCGAGUGGCGAACGGGUGAGUAACACGUGAGUAACCUGCCCUUGACUUUGGGAUAACUUCAGGAAACUGGGGCUAAUACCGGAUAGGAGCUCCUGCUGCAUGGUGGGGGUUGGAAAGUUUCGGCGGUUGGGGAUGGACUCGCGGCUUAUCAGCUUGUUGGUGGGGUAGUGGCUUACCAAGGCUUUGACGGGUAGCCGGCCUGAGGGGGUGACCGGCCAAAUUGGGAAUGAGAUACGGCCCAGACUCCAACGGGAGGCAGCAGUGGGGAAUAUUGCACAAUGGGCGGAAGCCUGAUGAAGAAACGCCGCGUGCGGGAUGACGGCCUUCGGGUUGUAAACAGAUUUCGCCUGUGACGAAGCGUGAGUGACGGUAAUGGGUAAAGAAGCACCGGCUAACUACGUG